Small nucleolar RNA from Papaver somniferum (opium poppy), 142 nucleotides. RefSeq annotates it as small nucleolar RNA snoR134. The record is from RefSeq and is a predicted model, not a curated record. NCBI's taxonomy places the organism in Eukaryota, Viridiplantae, Streptophyta, Magnoliopsida, Ranunculales, Papaveraceae. The transcript has a single exon.
CUGCACGUCGCACCCCGGGCUUCUCUGAAAAUAUUUCAAUGACGAAGAAAGCCCCAAUGCUCGUGCUAAAGCUGCGCCAUUUAGUGUUGCAGGUUUGCUUUGAUUUAAACAGCUUAUUUGUGUCAAAAUAGUGGCUAAAUCU